GUCGAACGAUGAACCCGGAGCUUGCUCUGGUGAAUUAGUGGCGAACGGGUGAGUAACACGUGAGUAACCUGCCCUUGACUCUGGGAUACCUGCGGGAAACUGUAGAUAAUACCGAAUCAGACCCUCGGAGGCAUCUCCUGGGGGUGGGAAGAAUUUAGGUCAAGGAUAGACUCGCGGCCUAUCAGCUAGUGGGUUAGGUAAAGACUCACCAAGGCGACGAUCAGUAGCUGGUCUGAGAGGAUGAUCAGCCACAUUGGGACUGGGACACGGCCCAAACUCCUACGGGAGGCAGCAGUGGGGAAUAUUGGACAAUGGGCGCAAGCCUGAUCCAGCCAUGCCGCGUGAGUGAUGAAGGCCUUAGGGUUGUAAAGCUCUUUCGUCCGGGACGAUAAUGACGGUACCGGAGGAAGAAGCCCCGGCUAACUUCGUGCCAGCAGCCGCAGUAA
This 446-nucleotide ribosomal RNA is filed under the name uncultured bacterium. RNAcentral's name for it is "partial 16S ribosomal RNA". It matches the Rfam family "Bacterial small subunit ribosomal RNA", at positions 61 to 523 of the family's 1533-position model. The record is from RNAcentral.